UGAGGAAUAUUGCACAAUGGGCGCAAGCCUGAUGCAGCGACGCCGCGUGUGGGAUGAAGGGGCUACGCCUCGUAAACCACUGUAGCCCGGGACGAAAAACGCCUUAGAGGCGUUAGACGGUACCGGGAAAGUAAGGGUCGGCUAACUACGUGCCAGCAGCCGCGGUAAUACGUAGGACCCAAGCGUUGUCCGGAUUUACUGGGUGUAAAGGGUGCGCAGGCGGAUGGGUAAGUCAGGGGUGAAAGUCUGCAGCUUAACUGUAGAAUUGCCUUUGAUACUGCUCAUCUUGAGUGUGGGAGAGGUUGAUGGAAUUCCAGGUGUAGCAGUGAAAUGCGUAGAGAUCGGGAGGAACAUCUGUGGCGAAGGCGACUGCCUGGACCAGCACUGACACUGAGGCACGAAAGCGUGGGGAGCAAACA
RNAcentral lists this ribosomal RNA (419 nucleotides) under uncultured bacterium. RNAcentral's name for it is "bacterial SSU rRNA". It matches the Rfam family "Bacterial small subunit ribosomal RNA", at positions 355 to 774 of the family's 1533-position model. The record is from RNAcentral.